Molecule: ribosomal RNA, 497 nt
Filed under: uncultured bacterium
Lineage: Bacteria
Description: partial 16S ribosomal RNA
Rfam family: Bacterial small subunit ribosomal RNA
Source: RNAcentral
GAUGAACGCUGGCGGCGUGCCUAAUACAUGCAAGUCGAGCGAACGGACGAGAAGCUUGCUUCUCUGAUGUUAGCGGCGGACGGGUGAGUAACACGUGGAUAACCUACCUAUAAGACUGGGAUAACUUCGGGAAACCGGAGCUAAUACCGGAUAAUAUUUUGAACCGCAUGGUUCAAAAGUGAAAGACGGUCUUGCUGUCACUUAUAGAUGGAUCCGCGCUGCAUGAGCUAGUUGGUAAGGUAACGGCUUACCAAGGCAACGAUGCGUAGCCUACCUGAGAGGGUGAUCGGCCACACUGGAACUGAGACACGGUCCAGACUCCUACGGGAGGCAGCAGUAGGGAAUCUUCCGCAAUGGGCGAAAGCCUGACGGAGCAACGCCGCGUGAGUGAUGAAGGUCUUCGGAUCGUAAAACUCUGUUAUUAGGGAAGAACAUAUGUGUAAGUAACUGUGCACAUCUUGACGGUACCUAAUCAGAAAGCCACGGCUAACUUCGUG